This 20-nucleotide small nuclear RNA is filed under the name Arabidopsis thaliana (thale cress). RNAcentral describes it as "snRNA_10582". Lineage: Eukaryota; Viridiplantae; Streptophyta; Magnoliopsida; Brassicales; Brassicaceae. The record is from RNAcentral.
ACUCAGAUUCGCCUUUUCUC